RNAcentral lists this ribosomal RNA (880 nucleotides) under uncultured bacterium. Its description in RNAcentral is "bacterial SSU rRNA". It matches the Rfam family "Bacterial small subunit ribosomal RNA", at positions 107 to 1001 of the family's 1533-position model. The record is from RNAcentral.
UGAGUAACGCGUGAGGAACCUGCCUUUCAGUGGGGGACAACAGUUGGAAACGACUGCUAAUACCGCAUAACACUUUUUGGGGACAUCCCCGAAAAGUCAAAGCUUUAUGUGCUGAAAGAUGGCCUCGCGUCUGAUUAGCUAGUUGGCGGGGUAACGGCCCACCAAGGCGACGAUCAGUAGCCGGUCUGAGAGGAUGAACGGCCACAUUGGGACUGAGAUACGGCCCAGACUCCUACGGGAGGCAGCAGUGGGGAAUAUUGGGCAAUGGGGGAAACCCUGACCCAGCAACGCCGCGUGAAGGAAGAAGGCCCUCGGGUUGUAAACUUCUUUUACCAGGGACGAAGGACGUGACGGUACCUGGAGAAAAAGCAACGGCUAACUACGUGCCAGCAGCCGCGGUAAUACGUAGGUUGCAAGCGUUGUCCGGAUUUACUGGGUGUAAAGGGUGUGUAGGCGGAGAUGCAAGUUGGGAGUGAAAUCCCGGGGCUCAACCCCGGAACUGCUUUCAAAACUGUAUCCCUUGAGUAUCGGAGAGGCAAGCGGAAUUCCUAGUGUAGCGGUGAAAUGCGUAGAUAUUAGGAGGAACACCAGUGGCGAAGGCGGCUUGCUGGACGACAACUGACGCUGAGGCGCGAAAGCGUGGGGAGCAAACAGGAUUAGAUACCCUGGUAGUCCACGCUGUAAACGAUGAAUACUAGGUGUGGGAGGACUGACCCCUUCCGUGCCGCAGUUAACACAAUAAGUAUUCCACCUGGGGAGUACGACCGCAAGGUUGAAACUCAAAGGAAUUGACGGGGGCCCGCACAAGCAGUGGAUUAUGUGGUUUAAUUCGACGCAACGCGAAGAACCUUACCAGGACUUGACAUCCAACUAACGAAGC